RNAcentral lists this ribosomal RNA (465 nucleotides) under uncultured bacterium. RNAcentral describes it as "partial 16S ribosomal RNA". It matches the Rfam family "Bacterial small subunit ribosomal RNA", at positions 338 to 795 of the family's 1533-position model. The record is from RNAcentral.
CCUACGGGUGGCAGCAGUGGGGAAUAUUGCGCAAUGGGCGAAAGCCUGACGCAGCGACGCCGCGUGAGGGAUGAAGGUCUUCGGAUCGUAAACCUCUGUCAGCAGGGAAGAACGGUCACUGUGCUAAUCAGCAGUGAAUUGACGGUACCUGCAAAGGAAGCACCGGCUAACUCCGUGCCAGCAGCCGCGGUAAUACGUAUGGUGCAAGCGUUAUCCGGAUUUACUGGGUGUAAAGGGAGCGCAGGCGGCACGGCAAGCCUGAUGUGAAAGCCCGCGGCCCAACCGCGGGACUGCAUUGGGAACUACCGGGCUGGAGUGCCGGAGAGGUAGGCGGAAUUCCUAGUGUAGCGGUGAAAUGCGUAGAUAUUAGGAGGAACACCAGUGGCGAAGGCGGCCUACUGGACGGUGACUGACGCUGAGGCUCGAAAGCGUGGGGAGCAAACAGGAUUAGAUACCCCAGUAGUC